AUUGAACGCUGGCGGCAGGCCUAACACAUGCAAGUCGAGCGGAUGAAGGGAGCUUGCUCCUGGAUUCAGCGGCGGACGGGUGAGUAAUGCCUAGGAAUCUGCCUGGUAGUGGGGGAUAACGUCCGGAAACGGGCGCUAAUACCGCAUACGUCCUGAGGGAGAAAGUGGGGGAUCUUCGGACCUCCCGCUAUCAGAUGAGCCUAGGUCGGAUUAGCUAGUUGGUGGGGUAAAGGCCUACCAAGGCGACGAUCCGUAACUGGUCUGAGAGGAUGAUCAGUCACACUGGAACUGAGACACGGUCCAGACUCCUACGGGAGGCAGCAGUGGGGAAUAUUGGACAAUGGGCGAAAGCCUGAUCCAGCCAUGCCGCGUGUGUGAAGAAGGUCUUCGGAUUGUAAAGCACUUUAAGUUGGGAGGAAGGGCAGUAAGUUAAUACCUUGCUGUUUUGACGUUACCAACAGAAUAAGCACCGGAUAACUUCGUG
This 484-nucleotide ribosomal RNA is filed under the name uncultured bacterium. RNAcentral describes it as "partial 16S ribosomal RNA". It matches the Rfam family "Bacterial small subunit ribosomal RNA", at positions 30 to 507 of the family's 1533-position model. The record is from RNAcentral.